CAUGUGGAAGGUGCGGCGCACAGCUCAGUAACACGUGGCCAACCUGCCCUUGAGACAGAAACAACCCCGGGAAACUGGGGCUAAUUUCCGAUAGGCGAAGAACCCUGGAAUGGGUCUCCACCCAAAGGGCGUCAGAUCAUGCUUCUGGCGUUGCUCAAGGAUGGGGCCGCGACCGAUCAGGUUGUUGGUGAGGUAAUGGCUCACCAAGCCUAUAACCGGUGCGGGCCGUGAGAGCGGGAGCCCGGAGAUGGGCACUGAGACAAGGGCCCAGGUCCUACGGGGCGCAGCAGUCGCGAAAACUUUGCAAUACACGAAAGUGUGACAGGGUCAUCCCGAGUGCCGACCGCUGAGGUUGGCUUUUACCCAGUCUAGAAAGCUGGGGGAAUAAGGAGAGGGCAAGUCUGGUGUCAGCCGCCGCGGUAAUACCAGCUCUCCGAGUGGUGUGGACGUUUAUUGGGCCUAAAGCAUCCGUAGCUGGCUGAACAAGUCCUUUGUUAAACCCAACGAUUUAAUCGUUGGUCUGCGGGGGAUACUGUUCGGCUAGGGGACGAGAGAGGCAGACGGUAUUUCCGGGGUAGGGGUGAAAUCCUAUAAUCCCGGGAGGACCACCAGUGGCGAAGGCUGUCUGCUAGAACGCGCCCGACGGUGAGGGAUGAAAGCUGGGGGAGCGAACCGGAUUAGAUACCCGGGUAGUCCCAGCUGUAAACGAUGCAGGCUAGGUGUUUGGACGGCCACGUGCCGUUCUAGUGCCGCAGGGAAGCUGUUAAGCCUGCCGCCUGGGGAGUACGAUCGCAAGAUUGAAACUUAAAGGAAUUGGCGGGGGAGCACCACAAGGGGUGAAGCUUGCGGUUUAAUUGGAGUCAACGCCGGG
Molecule: ribosomal RNA, 871 nt
Filed under: uncultured archaeon
Lineage: Archaea
Description: bacterial SSU rRNA
Rfam family: Archaeal small subunit ribosomal RNA
Source: RNAcentral